GACGAACGCUGGCGGCGUGCUUAACACAUGCAAGUCGAACGGAAAGGCCCUGCUUUUGUGGGGUGCUCGAGUGGCGAACGGGUGAGUCACACGUGAGUAACCUGCCCUUGACUUUGGGAUAACUUCAGGAAACUGGGUCUUAUACCGGACAGGAGCUCCUGCUGCAUGGUGGGGGUUGGAAAGUUUCGGCGGUUGGGGAUGGACUCGCGGCUUAUCAGCUUGUUGGUGGGGUAGUGGCUUACCAAGGCUUUGACGGGUAGCCGGCCUGAGAGGGUGACCGGCCACAUUGGGACUGAGAUACGGCCCAGACUCCUACGGGAGGCAGCAGUGGGGAAUAUUGCACAAUGGGCGGAAGCCUGAUGCAGCAACGCCGCGUGCGGGAUGACGGCCUUCGGGUUGUAAACCGCUUUCGCCUGUGACGAAGCGUGAGUGACGGUAAUGGGUAAAGAAGCACCGGCUAACUACGUG
This 468-nucleotide ribosomal RNA is filed under the name uncultured bacterium. RNAcentral describes it as "partial 16S ribosomal RNA". It matches the Rfam family "Bacterial small subunit ribosomal RNA", at positions 28 to 507 of the family's 1533-position model. The record is from RNAcentral.